UGAAAACAUUGUGUCAAUAUGCUAUGUCUAUGUUCGCCUUAUUCACCCGGAACGUUCUAAAGACGUUGAGGGGUACACUUCAGGGGUACAUUCGGCAACGCACCAGCUGUCAUGCCGCCUCACUGUUGUGUGCCCAAAUGUUCGUCCUCAAAGAGAAAAAAAUCCUACCGUGGACAGACUUUCCACCGUUUCCCCAAAGAGCAGGCACUUCGCCGUGAAUGUAUAAAUCACAUCAAGAGGGAUCCUGGUCCAUAUUUCAAGAUCAACGCUGAGACCAAGGUUUGCUCUGAGCACUUUGAGAAGCAGUGUUUUGUAAAGACCGCCCGUGGUAUCACAAAGCUUAUAAGGAUGCCGUGCCAACUUUGUUCGCCUGGACUUCAGAGAGGUCAAAGAGGAGAAUCAUCAUUCGCAGACCGAGAGAUGAUGACCCAUUCCUGAAGUUGGACGCCAGAAUGCAGGAAGGUGCUGUUUAAGAGCCUAGGCGGUGGAAGAAGCACUUGCAGGUAUGCUACCGACCAGGCUCCUCAACAUCAAUCCGAGACGGAAGAUGAACCGGGAUGAAGCAGUUAGAUUGAGACAAGGCGGCCGGAAACUUUGAUGACCUCAAUGACACUGGCUAGGUGAAGGACAUCAAGAAAAUGGCAUCCGGUCACCAGACAUCAGCUCAUAAGCCACAACGUCAUCAACCAUUUUGCGCCAAAAAUGAAGCCGUUCACAUACCAUGGCAUCCUAAGCAGGCAGCACCACACUACUGUGCAACAGUGAGAGAGAGCGGGCAAGGACAAGUAAAACGGACCUACACUACAGCAAGACUUUGACACUUCUCCACGUGAGAGGCAGCCAUCGCCCCCACCGUUGAGCAGUGUGUACCCAGUACCCCCAAAAGAGGAGAUGAUCCGACGCCAUCACAGCCGAUUUCCAAAAUUGUACACCAAACUCUGUAUGGGCGUGUGUGUGUGUGUGUGUGUGUGUGUGUGUGUGUGUGUGUGAGAUAUUGUAAAACUUUUCAGUCCUUCUUCUAUACUAUACAGUGUAUAAAUAUACAUGUGAAAACCUAAAUAUGCAUUAAAAACCAUUACUGAGGUUAAGAAAUGCAUUAUAACAAAUACAUCUGAUUCAGGUGUACUGUACAUUGAAAUGUCUUUAUUUGCCACAAAUACAUCACA
Long non-coding RNA from Engraulis encrasicolus (European anchovy), 1166 nucleotides. RefSeq lists it as uncharacterized. The transcript is spliced from 6 exons. NCBI's taxonomy places the organism in Eukaryota, Metazoa, Chordata, Actinopteri, Clupeiformes, Engraulidae. The record is from RefSeq and is a predicted model, not a curated record.